GACGAACGCUGGCGGCGUGCUUAACACAUGCAAGUCGUACGGUAAGGCCCUUUCGGGGGUACACUAGUGGCGAACGGGUGCGUAACACGUGAGUAACCUGCCCACAACUUUGGGAUAACGCUAGGAAACUGGGGCUAAUACUGGAUAUGUGCUCCUGCUGCUUGGUGGGGGUUGGAAAGCUCCGGCGGUUUUGGAUGGACGCGCGGCCUAUUAGCUUGUUGGUGGGGUAGUGGCCUACCAAGGCGGCGACGGGUAGCCGGCCUGAGAGGGUGACCGGCCACAUUGGGACUGAGAUACGGCCCAGACUCCUACGGGAGGCAGCAGUGGGGAAUAUUGCACAAUGGGCGCAAGCCUGAUGCAGCAACGCCGCGUGCGGGAUGACGGCCUUCGGGUUGUAAACCGCUUUCAGCAGGGACGAAGCUUUUUGUGACGGUACCUGCAGAAGAAGCACCGGCUAACUACGUG
This 465-nucleotide ribosomal RNA is filed under the name uncultured bacterium. Its description in RNAcentral is "partial 16S ribosomal RNA". It matches the Rfam family "Bacterial small subunit ribosomal RNA", at positions 28 to 507 of the family's 1533-position model. The record is from RNAcentral.